Molecule: transfer RNA, 74 nt
Filed under: Caldifarciminota bacterium JGI_Cruoil_03_44_89
Lineage: Bacteria; Pseudomonadati; Caldifarciminota
Description: tRNA-Arg
Rfam family: tRNA
About the family: Transfer RNA (tRNA) molecules are approximately 80 nucleotides in length. Their secondary structure includes four short double-helical elements and three loops (D, anti-codon, and T loops).
Source: RNAcentral
GCCCCCAUAGCUCAACUGGAUAGAGCGGCUGGCUACGAACCAGUAGGUUGCAGGUUCGAGUCCUGCUGGGGGUA